UAAAAUAUGUUUUUUUUUAAUUUGCUUUGUACUUAAAAAAUAUGCCCUUUGUGCCAUUUAAUUAAAGGAAAAAGAACAAUCAUGAAUGCUCAGUACUGUAGCAGAUACUAAAUGGCUGUCUUAGUUCUUCAGCCCAAUAUGGUAUUUUCAGAUUACAUCUGCAGAAACAACUCAGAAUGAAAUGCAUCUCUGCUGUUGUAUUAUAUUUCUGUACCACUGCUGCAGUGUGAACAUACUUUCCCACCCUCACUAGAGAAGGAGCUCUGAGACGGUGCGAUGCCAGCUGGUGUGCUCCGUGCCCACUGACACGACUGAAGGAACUGCUGGUGAAAACAAUUUGACUGCACACGAAGAAAAGAAAAAUGAAAGACAAAUCACUGGUGGGCUGGAUGGAGUGGAAAGAGAACAGCUUAGAAGAUGUCUUGGCUUUCAGAACAACCUGGAAUUGAGGAAAUUUCCUUUGAAGCCUUUGAAGCACUGUAAGUAAGUAAGAAAGAAAAGAUAAAUCCUCUGUUCUCCUCCCCUGUAGAGAUACGUAAGU
Molecule: long non-coding RNA, 541 nt
Filed under: Dromaius novaehollandiae (emu)
Lineage: Eukaryota; Metazoa; Chordata; Aves; Casuariiformes; Dromaiidae
Description: lncRNA (ENSDNVG00000003008.1)
Source: RNAcentral